UACGGAGGGUGCUAGCGUUGUUCGGAAUCACUGGGCGUAAAGGGCGUGUAGGCGGCCUGUUAAGUCUGAUGUGAAAUCCCCUCGCUCAACGAGGGAACUGCGUCGGAUACUGGCAGACUCGAGUACCGGAGAGGAAGGUGGAAUUCCCGGUGUAGCGGUGAAAUGCGUAGAUAUCUGGAGGAACACCGGUGGCGAAGGCGGCAUCCUGGACCGAUAUUGACGCUGAUGCGCGAAAGCCAGGGGAGCAAACGGG
RNAcentral lists this ribosomal RNA (253 nucleotides) under uncultured bacterium. RNAcentral's name for it is "partial 16S ribosomal RNA". It matches the Rfam family "Bacterial small subunit ribosomal RNA", at positions 524 to 776 of the family's 1533-position model. The record is from RNAcentral.